RNAcentral lists this ribosomal RNA (468 nucleotides) under uncultured bacterium. RNAcentral's name for it is "partial 16S ribosomal RNA". It matches the Rfam family "Bacterial small subunit ribosomal RNA", at positions 28 to 507 of the family's 1533-position model. The record is from RNAcentral.
GACGAACGCUGGCGGCGUGCUUAACACAUGCAAGUCGAACGGAAAGGCCCUGCUUUUGUGGGGUUCUCGAGUGGCGAACGCGUGAGUAACACGUGUGUAUCCUGCCCUUGUCUUUGGGAUAACUUCAGGUAGCUGGGGCUAAGAUCGGAUAGGAGCUCCUGCAGCAGGGUGGGCGUUGGAAAGUUUCGGCUGGUGGGGCUGGACUCGCGGCUUAUCAGCUUGCUGGUGGGGUAGUGGCUUACCAAGGCUUUGACGGGUAGCCGGCUUGAGAGGGUGAACGGCGACAUUGGGACUGAGAUACGGCCCAGACGCCUACGGGAGGCAGCAGUGGGGAGUAUUGCACAGUGGGCGGGAGCGUGAUGCAGCAACGCCGCGUGCGGGAUGACGGCCUUCUGGUUGUAAACCGCUUUCGCCUGUGACGAAGCGUGAGUGACGGUAAUGGGUAAAGAAGCACCGGCUAACUACGUG